RNAcentral lists this ribosomal RNA (1187 nucleotides) under Psychrobacter pulmonis. Its description in RNAcentral is "bacterial SSU rRNA". It matches the Rfam family "Bacterial small subunit ribosomal RNA", at positions 55 to 1240 of the family's 1533-position model. Lineage: Bacteria; Pseudomonadati; Pseudomonadota; Gammaproteobacteria; Moraxellales; Moraxellaceae. The record is from RNAcentral.
AUGCAGUCGAGCGGUAACAGGAGAAGCUUGCUUCUCGCUGACGAGCGGCGGACGGGUGAGUAAUACUUAGGAAUCUACCUAGUAGUGGGGGAUAGCUCGGGGAAACUCGAAUUAAUACCGCAUACGACCUACGGGAGAAAGGGGGCAACUUGUUGCUCUCGCUAUUAGAUGAGCCUAAGUCGGAUUAGCUAGAUGGUGGGGUAAAGGCCUACCAUGGCGACGAUCUGUAGCUGGUCUGAGAGGAUGAUCAGCCACACCGGGACUGAGACACGGCCCGGACUCCUACGGGAGGCAGCAGUGGGGAAUAUUGGACAAUGGGGGCAACCCUGAUCCAGCCAUGCCGCGUGUGUGAAGAAGGCCUUUUGGUUGUAAAGCACUUUAAGCAGUGAAGAAGACUCCAUGGUUAAUACCCAUGGACGAUGACAUUAGCUGCAGAAUAAGCACCGGCUAACUCUGUGCCAGCAGCCGCGGUAAUACAGAGGGUGCAAGCGUUAAUCGGAAUUACUGGGCGUAAAGCGAGCGUAGGUGGCUUGAUAAGUCAGAUGUGAAAGCCCCGGGCUUAACCUGGGAACGGCAUCUGAUACUGUUAGGCUAGAGUAGGUGAGAGGAAGGUAGAAUUCCAGGUGUAGCGGUGAAAUGCGUAGAGAUCUGGAGGAAUACCGAUGGCGAAGGCAGCCUUCUGGCAUCAUACUGACACUGAGGUUCGAAAGCGUGGGUAGCAAACAGGAUUAGAUACCCUGGUAGUCCACGCCGUAAACGAUGUCUACUAGUCGUUGGGUCCCUUGAGGACUUAGUGACGCAGCUUACGCAAUAAGUAGACCGCCUGGGGAGUACGGCCGCAAGGUUAAAACUCAAAUGAAUUGACGGGGGCCCGCACAAGCGGUGGAGCAUGUGGUUUAAUUCGAUGCAACGCGAAAAACCUUACCUGGUCUUGACAUAUCUAGAAUCCUGCAAAGAUGCGGGAAUGCCUUCGGGAAUUAGAAUACAGGUGCUGCAUGGCUGUCGUCAACUCGUGUCCUGAAAUGUUGGGUUAAUUCCCGCAACGAGCGCAACCCUUGUCCUUAUUUACCAACGGUUUGGCCGGGAACUCUAAGGAUACUGCCAUUGACAAACUGGAAGAAGGCGGGGACGACUUCAGUCAUCAUGGCCCUUACAACAAGGCUACCACCUGCUACAUUGGUAGGUAC